Molecule: long non-coding RNA, 747 nt
Organism: Symphalangus syndactylus (siamang)
Lineage: Eukaryota; Metazoa; Chordata; Mammalia; Primates; Hylobatidae
Source: RefSeq, a predicted model, not a curated record
ACAGGGUCUUCCUCUGUCACCUAGGCUGGAGUGCAGUGGUGCAAUCGUGACUUACUGCAGCCUCAACCUACUGGGGUCAAGUAGAUCCUCCCACCUCAUCCUCCCGAGUAGCUGGAACUACAGGAAGUUGCAGAAUUGGCUUUGGUAAAAUGUGAGAGUAAACAUAUAAAGAGGAAGACGUGGAAUCCAGGAAUGAGAUGCAAGAUAGGAGAGUGGGAAAGGAUGCCCUAGGACCACUGCUGGACCAGGUCUAAAAAGUAACCAGUGUACCGAAGGACAACAGAAUGAAGAGCCUAGAGAUAAGGUCUAUAAAUGUUGCCCAGGCUGGUCUAGAACUUCUGGCCUCAAGUGAUCUUCCCACCUCUACCUCCCAAAGUGCUGGGAUUACAGGCGUGAGCCACAGAGCACAGCCUAGUUAUAAUAAUGUUAAUACUAAGCAUUCGUUUAGCAAAUAUUGCUAUGAUGGAACUACACUGGAAGAUUGGAAACAAGAAGGCUAAUUAUAGAAUCACGGACAAGAACUGAAAGAGUUGCUGCUUGAACUUUCCACCUGAGGUCUGUGUUAGAAUUUAGGAAACGCCACCCUGAUAAAUGACUGCAAAAGACAAGAAUACACCAUCCCCAAACAUGCCACCCUGGCAUAUUGAUGACUUUGAGCUAUAAGUAACAGAACCAAACAACACAGGAUAACUUAUUCAGCUACCCCUCAACUGCCUAAAAUAAAGUAUGACUGCUUUUUUUCCUUUU